AGUGAACGCUGGCGGUAGGCCUAACACAUGCAAGUCGAACGGCAGCACAGUAAGAGCUUGCUCUUACGGGUGGCGAGUGGCGGACGGGUGAGGAAUACAUCGGAAUCUACUUUUUCGUGGGGGAUAACGUAGGGAAACUUACGCUAAUACCGCAUACGACCUACGGGUGAAAGCAGGGGAUCUUCGGACCUUGCGAUUGAAUGAGCCGAUGUCGGAUUAGCUAGUUGGCGGGGUAAAGGCCCACCAAGGCGACGAUCCGUAGCUGGUCUGAGAGGAUGAUCAGCCACACUGGAACUGAGACACGGUCCAGACUCCUACGGGAGGCAGCAGUGGGGAAUAUUGGACAAUGGGCGCAAGCCUGAUCCAGCCAUACCGCGUGGGUGAAGAAGGCCUUCGGGUUGUAAAGCCCUUUUGUUGGGAAAGAAAAGCAGCAGGUUAAUACCCCGCUGUUCUGACGGUACCCAAAGAAUAAGCACCGGCUAACUUCGUG
RNAcentral lists this ribosomal RNA (490 nucleotides) under uncultured bacterium. RNAcentral's name for it is "partial 16S ribosomal RNA". It matches the Rfam family "Bacterial small subunit ribosomal RNA", at positions 29 to 507 of the family's 1533-position model. The record is from RNAcentral.